GAUGAACGCUAGCGGCAGGCUUAAUACAUGCAAGUCGAGGGGCAGCAGGUCCCGCAGCAAUGCGGGAUGCUGGCGACCGGCAAACGGGUGCGGAACACGUACAGAACCCUCCUUUAAGUGGGGAAUAGCCCGGGGAAACCCGGAUUAAUACCCCGUAUCAUAAUGGAGUGGCAUCACUUUAUUCUUAUAGCAGCAAUGCGCUUGAAGAUGGCUGUGCGGCUGAUUAGGUAGUUGGCGGGGUAACGGCCCACCAAGCCUACGAUCAGUAACUGGUGUGAGAGCACGACCAGUCACACGGGCACUGAGGCACGGGCCCGACUCCUACGGGAGGCAGCAGUAAGGAAUAUUGGGCAAUGGACGCAAGUCUGACCAGCCAUGCCGCGUGGAGGAUGAAGGUCCUCUGGAUUGUAAACUUCUUUUAUCUGGGAAGAAAUCUAUUUUUUCUAAAGUAGUUGACGGUACCAGAUGAAUAAGCACCGGCUAACUCCGUGCCAGCCGCCGCUGUAA
RNAcentral lists this ribosomal RNA (507 nucleotides) under uncultured bacterium. RNAcentral describes it as "partial 16S ribosomal RNA". It matches the Rfam family "Bacterial small subunit ribosomal RNA", at positions 28 to 523 of the family's 1533-position model. The record is from RNAcentral.